This 468-nucleotide ribosomal RNA is filed under the name uncultured bacterium. RNAcentral's name for it is "partial 16S ribosomal RNA". It matches the Rfam family "Bacterial small subunit ribosomal RNA", at positions 28 to 507 of the family's 1533-position model. The record is from RNAcentral.
GACGAACGCUGGCGGCGUGCUUAACACAUGCAAGUCGAACGGAAAGGCCCUGCUUUUGUGGGGUGCUCGAGUGGCGAACGGGUGUGUAACACGGGAGUAACCUGCCCUUGACUUUGGGAUAACUUCAGGAAACUGGGGCUAAUACCGGAUAGCAGCUCCUGCUGCAUGGUGGGGGUUGGAAAGUUUCGGCGGUUGGGGAUGGACUCGCGGCUUAUCAGCUUGUUGGUGGGGUAGUGGCUUACCAAGGCUUUGACGGGUAGCCGGCCUGAGAGGGUGACCGGCCACAUUGGGACUGAGAUACGGCCCAGACUCCUACGGGAGGCAGCAGUGGGGAAUAUUGCACAAUGGGCGGAAGCCUGAUGCAGCAACGCCGCGUGCGGGAUGACGGCCUUCGGGUUGUAAACCGCUUUCGCCUGUGACGAAGCGUGAGUGACGGUAAUGGGUAAAGAAGCACCGGCUAACUACGUG